This 371-nucleotide ribosomal RNA is filed under the name uncultured bacterium. RNAcentral describes it as "bacterial SSU rRNA". It matches the Rfam family "Bacterial small subunit ribosomal RNA", at positions 28 to 399 of the family's 1533-position model. The record is from RNAcentral.
GACGAACGCUGGCGGCGUGCUUAACACAUGCAAGUCGAGCGAUGAAGUUUCCUUCGGGAAACGGAUUAGCGGCGGACGGGUGAGUAACACGUGGGUAACCUGCCUCAUAGAGAGGGAUAGCCUUCCGAAAGGAAGAUUAAUACCUCAUAACAUCAUUCUUUCGCAUGUUAGAAUGAUCAAAGGAGCAAUCCGCUAUGAGAUGGACCCGCGGCGCAUUAGCUAGUUGGUGGGUAACGGCCUACCAAGGCGACGAUGCGUAGCCGACUGAGAGGGUGAUCGGCCACAUUGGGACUGAGACACGGCCCAGACUCCUACGGGAGCAGCAGUGAGGAAUAAUGGUCAAUGGACGCAAGUCUGAACCAGCCAAGUAG